AGCUUUGCGCAGUGGCAGUAUUGUAGCCAAUGAGGUUUAUCCGAGGCACGAUUAUUGCUAAUUGAAAACUUUUCCCCAUACUGUCAAAAAAGAUAAUAUCUUUUCUAUGUGUUUUCUUUCAAAUAAUAUUUUCCAUUUUUUCAAAGA
Small nuclear RNA from Mirounga angustirostris (Northern elephant seal), 147 nucleotides. RefSeq annotates it as U4 spliceosomal RNA. The record is from RefSeq and is a predicted model, not a curated record. The transcript has a single exon. Lineage: Eukaryota; Metazoa; Chordata; Mammalia; Carnivora; Phocidae.